Long non-coding RNA from Myxocyprinus asiaticus (Chinese sucker), 606 nucleotides. RefSeq lists it as uncharacterized. Lineage: Eukaryota; Metazoa; Chordata; Actinopteri; Cypriniformes; Catostomidae. The transcript has 2 exons. The record is from RefSeq and is a predicted model, not a curated record.
CAGCUUCAUUAAUCUCUCUUGUGUGGUGUAGUGGUUUAAAGGGAUAGUUCACACAAAAAUGAAAGUUCUCUCCUCAUUCACUCAUCCUCAUGUUGUUCCAAACUCGUAUGACUGUCUUUCUUCAGUGGAACACAAAAGGUGAACAAGUGAUCUGAUCACAGCGGUUAACAUCUCACUAGAUGGGAAGAUUGUCAGUGAAUACAUUUCGACAUUUAUCUAAAGUUGCUUACAAAUGUGGAACAUCACCAGCAGUUUGUCCUACAAGAGCAACAACAUCUGCAGUGUCAGGCUGCCAAGUUUUGAGACUGGCACAGAAGCUAUUGGACAGAAGUGGAUCUUCAGACUAGUAGUUUUCAAUAGGUAGUGCCUUUUGCUUGUGGUCUGGUUAAAUGUCUUCAACAGUUUCUUGAAUAUUAUGACAAUGUCAGCACAUUGGCUGGAGGUUGGAAGCUCAUUUAACCACAGAGAAACAGAAAUGAGCAGCCCUAGGCCACAUUAGGCUUUGGUCAUGUUGCUUGUAAUAUUUGAAUUUGGCUUUUGUAAAUUUAAGUUCUGGAAAACCUUGAAAAUAGACUUUUUUUUUUUUUUUUUUUUUUUAAUCAAGAA